RNAcentral lists this ribosomal RNA (434 nucleotides) under uncultured bacterium. Its description in RNAcentral is "partial 16S ribosomal RNA". It matches the Rfam family "Bacterial small subunit ribosomal RNA", at positions 29 to 507 of the family's 1533-position model. The record is from RNAcentral.
AACGAACGCUGGCGGCAUGCCUAACACAUGCAAGUCGAACGAGACCUUCGGGUCUAGUGGCGCACGGGUGCGUAACGCGUGGGAACCUGCCCUUAGGUUCGGAAUAACUCCCCGAAAGGGGUGCUAAUACCGGAUAAUGUCUUCGGACCAAAGAUUUAUCGCCUUUGGAUGGGCCCGCGUUGGAUUAGCUAGUUGGUAGGGUAAAAGCCUACCAAGGCGACGAUCCAUAGCUGGUCUGAGAGGAUGAUCAGCCACACUGGGACUGAGACACGGCCCAGACUCCUACGGGAGGCAGCAGUGGGGGAAUAUUGGACAAUGGGCGAAAGCCUGAUCCAGCAAUGCCGCGUGAGUGAUGAAGCCCUUAGGGUUGUAAAGCUCUUUUACCCGGGAUGAUAAUGACAGUACCGGGAAAAUAAGCUCCGGCUAACUCCGUG